UGCCUCUUGUCUCCAAUAUAGGAGGUACAUCCUGCCCGGUGCCCUGCGGGGUUAACGGCCGCGGUAUCCUGACCGUGCUAAGGUAGCGUGAUAAUUCGCCCUUUAAUUGUGGGCUUGUAUGAAUGGACAAACGAAAGCCUAGCUGUCUCCCAGAUAAAAAUAAAAAUUGGCAUUCAGGUGAAGAGACCUGAAUCAGAUCAAAGGACAAGAAGACCCCGUAGAGCUUUGUCCUCGCCCACCACAGAGAACGAUACCCCUAUACCUUCCCUGUGCUUGCCAAAAGGACUCAGCUGGGGCGGCUGAGGAACAUUAAAUCUUCCAUCUUAAUCCGAACUUUAAAUAGCGCACUUCGGCUAAUUCGCCAUAUAACCUAAAUUGACCCCUAUUAGGAUCAAAAAAAAUAGCUACCUCGGGGAUAACAGAUUAAUCCUCCUUGAGAGUUCGCAUUGACAGGAGGGCUUGACACCUCGAUGUUGGCUUAGGAUAUCCCGGGAGUUGCAGGAGCCCCCAACGGUAGGUUUGUUCAACCUUUAAAAUCCCUACGUG
RNAcentral lists this ribosomal RNA (546 nucleotides) under Petta pusilla. RNAcentral describes it as "partial large subunit ribosomal RNA". It matches the Rfam family "Bacterial large subunit ribosomal RNA", at positions 1817 to 2602 of the family's 2925-position model. The record is from RNAcentral. Lineage: Eukaryota; Metazoa; Annelida; Polychaeta; Terebellida; Pectinariidae.